UCGAGCGGUAGAGAGAAGCUUGCUUCUCUUGAGAGCGGCGGACGGGUGAGUAAUGCCUAGGAAUCUGCCUGGUAGUGGGGGAUAACGUCCGGAAACGGACGCUAAUACCGCAUACGUCCUACGGGAGAAAGCAGGGGACCUUCGGGCCUUGCGCUAUCAGAUGAGCCUAGGUCGGAUUAGCUAGUUGGUGGGGUAAUGGCUCACCAAGGCGACGAUCCGUAACUGGUCUGAGAGGAUGAUCAGUCACACUGGAACUGAGACACGGUCCAGACUCCUACGGGAGGCAGCAGUGGGGAAUAUUGGACAAUGGGCGAAAGCCUGAUCCAGCCAUGCCGCGUGUGUGAAGAAGGUCUUCGGAUUGUAAAGCACUUUAAGUUGGGAGGAAGGGCAGUAAAUUAAUACUUUGCUGUUUUGACGUUACCGACAGAAUAAGCACCGGCUAACUCUGUGCCAGCAGCCGCGGUAAUACAGAGGGUGCAAGCGUUAAUCGGAAUUACUGGGCGUAAAGCGCGCGUAGGUGGUUCGUUAAGUUGGAUGUGAAAUCCCCGGGCUCAACCUGGGAACUGCAUUCAAAACUGACGAGCUAGAGUAUGGUAGAGGGUGGUGGAAUUUCCUGUGUAGCGGUGAAAUGCGUAGAUAUAGGAAGGAACACCAGUGGCGAAGGCGACCACCUGGACUGAUACUGACACUGAGGUGCGAAAGCGUG
RNAcentral lists this ribosomal RNA (706 nucleotides) under uncultured bacterium. Its description in RNAcentral is "bacterial SSU rRNA". It matches the Rfam family "Bacterial small subunit ribosomal RNA", at positions 62 to 763 of the family's 1533-position model. The record is from RNAcentral.